This 580-nucleotide ribosomal RNA is filed under the name uncultured bacterium. RNAcentral describes it as "bacterial SSU rRNA". It matches the Rfam family "Bacterial small subunit ribosomal RNA", at positions 338 to 917 of the family's 1533-position model. The record is from RNAcentral.
CCUACGGGAGGCAGCAGUAAGGAAUAUUGGUCAAUGGAGGCAACUCUGAACCAGCCAUGCCGCGUGCAGGAUGACGGCCCUAUGGGUUGUAAACUGCUUUUAUACAAGAGAAAACCCUGGUACGUGUACCAGGUUGAUAGUAUUGUAAGAAUAAGCAUCGGCUAACUUCGUGCCAGCAGCCGCGGUAAGACGAAGGAUGCAAGCGUUAUCCGGAUUCAUUGGGUUUAAAGGGUGCGUAGGCGGACUGAUAAGUCAGUGGUGAAAUCUCUUUGCUUAACAAAGAAACUGCCAUUGAUACUGUCGGUCUAGAGUAUAGAUGACGUUGGCGGAAUAUGACAUGUAGUGGUGAAAUACUUAGAUAUGUCAUAGAACACCGAUUGCGAAGGCAGCUAACGAAACUAUAACUGACGCUGAGGCACGAAAGUGCGGGGAUCAAACAGGAUUAGAUACCCUGGUAGUCCGCACCGUAAACGAUGAUUACUCGUUGUUGGCGAUAUGACAGUCAGCGACCAAGCGAAAGCGAUAAGUAAUCCACCUGGGGAGUACGCCGGCAACGGUGAAACUCAAAGGAAUUAGACGG